RNAcentral lists this ribosomal RNA (253 nucleotides) under uncultured bacterium. RNAcentral's name for it is "partial 16S ribosomal RNA". It matches the Rfam family "Bacterial small subunit ribosomal RNA", at positions 524 to 776 of the family's 1533-position model. The record is from RNAcentral.
UACAGAGGGGGCAAGCGUUGUUCGGAAUUACUGGGCGUAAAGGGCGCGUAGGCGGCCCUCUAAGUCAGACGUGAAAUCCCUCGGCUCAACCGGGGAACUGCGUCUGAGACUGGAAGGCUUGAAUUCGGUAGGGGAGACUGGAAUUCCUGGUGUAGCGGUGAAAUGCGCAGAUAUCAGGAGGAACACCGGUGGCGAAGGCGGGUCUCUGGGCCGAUAUUGACGCUGAGGAGCGAAAGCGUGGGGAGCGAACAGG